UACGUAGGGUGCAAGCGUUGUCCGGAAUUAUUGGGCGUAAAGAGCUCGUAGGCGGUCUGUCACGUCGGCUGUGAAAACCCGAGGCUCAACCUCGGGCCUGCAGUCGAUACGGGCAGACUAGAGUUCGGUAGGGGAGACUGGAAUUCCUGGUGUAGCGGUGAAAUGCGCAGAUAUCAGGAGGAACACCGGUGGCGAAGGCGGGUCUCUGGGCCGAAACUGACGCUGAGGAGCGAAGGCGUGGGGAGCGAACAGG
RNAcentral lists this ribosomal RNA (253 nucleotides) under uncultured bacterium. Its description in RNAcentral is "partial 16S ribosomal RNA". It matches the Rfam family "Bacterial small subunit ribosomal RNA", at positions 524 to 776 of the family's 1533-position model. The record is from RNAcentral.